CAGCAGCCGCGGUAAUUCCAGCUCCAAUAGCGUAUACUAAAGUUGUUGCGGUUAAAAAGCUCGUAGUUGGAUCUUGGAAUGUGUUCAAGCGGGUCAGCUUCUGGCUGUGCGCUGCUUGACGUGUUCUUCUAUUUGGUUUUGGUGCGGUGCGCUUAACUGCGUGUCGCUCCCGGCCGAAACGUUUACCUUGAAAAAAUUAGAGUGUUCAAAGCAGACCUGUUUGAGUCUGAAUAUUCGUGCAUGGAAUAAUGAAAUAUGAAUUCGGUUCUAUUUUGUUGGUUUUCGGAACUCGAGUUAAUGAUCAAGAGGGACAGACGGGGGCAUUCGUACUCUGCCGUUAGAGGUGCAAUUCUUGGAUCGGCGGAAGACGCGCAACUGCGAAAGCAUUUGCCAAGAAUGUUUUCUUUAAUCAAGAACGAUAGUCGGAGGUUCGAAGACGAUCAGAUACCGUCCUAGUUUCGACUGUAAACUAUGCCAGCUAACGAUCAGACAGAGUUCUCUACGACUUGUCUGGCAGUUUCCGGGAAACCAAAGCGUUUGGGUUCCGGGGGAAGUAUGGUUGCAAAGCUGAAACUUAAAGGAAUUGACGGAAGGGCACCACCAGGAGUGGAGCCUGCGGCUUAAUUUGACUCAACACGGGGAAACUCACCCGGCCCGGACACAGUGAGGAUUGACAGAUUGAGAGUUCUUUCUUGAUUCUGUGGGUGGUGGUGCAUGGCCGUUCUUAGUUGGUGGAGCGAUUUGUCUGGUUAAUUCCGAUAACGAACGAGACUCUGGCAUGUUAAAUAGUCGCGGAAGUGCGUAUGCACUUGCCGAAUUGACUUCUUAGAGGGACUAGUGAUUUUAAUUCACACGAGAUUGAGCAAUAACAGGUCUGUGAUGCCCAAGGCGAUCCGUUAAACUUGCAGAC
This 910-nucleotide ribosomal RNA is filed under the name uncultured eukaryote. RNAcentral describes it as "SSU rRNA". It matches the Rfam family "Eukaryotic small subunit ribosomal RNA", at positions 568 to 1498 of the family's 1831-position model. The record is from RNAcentral.